RNAcentral lists this ribosomal RNA (106 nucleotides) under uncultured bacterium. RNAcentral describes it as "partial 16S ribosomal RNA". It matches the Rfam family "Bacterial small subunit ribosomal RNA", at positions 1379 to 1482 of the family's 1533-position model. The record is from RNAcentral.
CCUUGUACACACCGCCCGUCACACCAUGGGAGUUGGAUUCACCCGAAGGCGUUGCGCUAACCCGUAAGGGACGGCAGGCGACCACGGUGGGUUUAGCGACUGGGUG